This is a long non-coding RNA of Cornus florida, 548 nucleotides long. RefSeq lists it as uncharacterized. The transcript is spliced from 2 exons. Lineage: Eukaryota; Viridiplantae; Streptophyta; Magnoliopsida; Cornales; Cornaceae. The record is from RefSeq and is a predicted model, not a curated record.
UCUCUCUCUCUCUCUCUCUCUCUCUCUCUCUCUCGUUCCUUAAGCUUCUUUUUUUUCUUUUCUUUUUUGGUUCAAUCUUCAUCUCUUGAUUUCUCCCUCAUUUCUUGGCGGAUUAAGGUGCCGUUUGAGGCAAAAUGAAGCCCACUACGAGCUCUACACAUCCAUACGAACAAUUCCAGAUUUGGUGCCCUCCUUGGAGUUCGAAAUUCAAGACCCAUUUUAAGGGUUUUGUGCAAAAGGGAGGUAACGGGAAAGAAGUGGCGGAUUACUUUCCACCACAGGCCUAAUUUGGAUUAGAAGACUUUUUUUUGCUAUUUUUGUAUUAAGUCCCAUAUUUUUGUAAAAUCUUAAUUUGUUAUAUUCGGUAUAAAGGUUUGUGGACUCUUGUUAUUAUAAUUAUAUCUAUGGGGUGUAACUUUUGUAUGAGCUGUCUAAAUGUUGUAAAAUAUGGACAUUUGAUAUUAAUCUUGUAUGUUGGGACUGUAACUAUGUUAUCUGGAUGAUAUUGUAUGUGGUUGUACCACUAUGGAAUGAACUAAGUUAAGGCA